Long non-coding RNA from Triticum aestivum (bread wheat), 2889 nucleotides. RefSeq lists it as uncharacterized. The record is from RefSeq and is a predicted model, not a curated record. The transcript has 3 exons. Lineage: Eukaryota; Viridiplantae; Streptophyta; Magnoliopsida; Poales; Poaceae.
CCGUGCCAUUUUUUUUUUCUGGCCUCGACCCCUCUCUCGAUCUAUUUCCUCGGGUGUGAACGCCGCCGCCGCUGCCGCUGCAGAAUCCGCCGCCGCCGUCGCCGCCGCCGCCGCCGCCACUGCAGAAUCCGCCGCCGCCGCCGUCGUCGCCGCCGCUGCAGAAUCCUUCUGCGUCGCCUCCACCGUCUUGUUGCUCCCGCCUCACCCCUCUCCUCUCCCUCCAAACCCUAACCGUGCCCGCCUCCCUACCCCCCGCCGUAGUCUCCUUCGCCGUCGGGAGCUCAGCCCGGGAUGGCUGCCAGGGUUCCUCGCGGGCUUCCUCCUCGGCCUUCUCGCGCUCGCGGAGGCCGAGGCGGCCGCGCUGCUCUGGGUCGCCCGCCGCCUCUACCGCCGGCUGCUUUGGAGAUGGUGAAUGCGACAGUCAGGCGUUGAGGAGGGCGUGUACCAGAGCCCGGUCGUCGGAGGCGCGUGCAGGUUUGUGAUUGAGGGUACCCGCGAGCCGGCGACUAAAGGCAGAGGGCGCGCCAUGUGUUGUGGCUGAUCUGUGUGUGUGUGUCGUGUUCUGCUUGUGCGUGUGUGGUGUGGACAGCGUGGUGCGUGCUAUGUUCUGCUCUCCUCCAGCAUGUGUGCAACGAUCUGUUCCGGCCAACCGUGGAUGGUAUUUGUGUUUUUGGCCUGGUUAUAGACGAUGCAUCUAUGUUUUGGGAGUUUAUACAAACCAUAGAUGAUCUAACUUGUUGUGAUAUUUUUUAGGAGUGUUGUGAUUUCUAAAUAAUGCACUUUUGGGAGUUCCACAUCAUGAUACGUAUAUCAACUGUGAUCAGUCAUGUGAGGCUGCCCAACGGAAAGAUCUGAUAAGAAAGAAGAUAGAGCUUCAGGUGAACCGUGUCGUCCCUAGGAAUUUGUUGGCCUCGAGGAUUGUUCCAGUAAGUACUUCUGAUGACAACAUGAUGUUGGGCCUCAGGGACAUGGUAAGCUACUUACGUUACAAUUUUCAUCCAUGCAUACUUGUUUAUGUGAUUCUUGUACCACUACUGAUCCAUAUAUGAUUUCUUACACUCAUCCUUUAAUCCUGCUUAAAUUAUAGUACUAAGGGCGAUUGUACUUUAACAGGUCUCAAACUUGUGUAGGUAACCAACAGAAAUAUAUUGAAGCACAUUGCUAUCAUCAACUCAUCGUCCACUCGUGCCUGCCGGGUCACGCUCUGCAGCAACGGCGCACGCCGCCAGCACCAUAUAAUAGCUAUGGUAGGUGACUAUGGGAAAGAAGCAGGGGUGUCGGGAUCAUCAUUGAUGGGGUCGUCGGGGAGAAGAUGGGGGCUGAGAAGACAUGAACGGGCUAUAAUUGGCUGUGAGAAGUAGAACGAGAGAGAUAGCGAUGAUGUGGUGCUGCACCAUUGCUCUCCUACUACUAGCUGAAUUUUGGUAUUGUUGCUGCUAUCUGAAUUUCGCAUACACACAGCGAGGUGUUUGAUGUUGACCGACCUUGCGCCUGUUGCGAGGGGGAUUUCGUCGCUUGGAGAUCUCCUGGGAGAGGUGCUGCCUGCCGAGGUAACAAUCAUCCCUCUCCAUGUGCUCGACACUCUGUGCCCGACCCCCAACCUCCCUGGAUCCCGGCGCACCCCUCCCACACACUCCCGACCUCCUCCCGGCGCACAUGCCACCGCCCCUGCUCCUCCCUCCUCCAGGUUCAUAUGAAGCAACAACACACCAGGUUCCUGUUUACAAGCCGGAACCUGGAGAAUCCGGAGAAGGAGAGGGAAGCGGGAGGCGGUGGCGCACAAGGUGCGAAGAUGCCCAAGGCCGGCAGGCCGCGCACGAGGGGGAAUCCGGAUCCGGAGACGCAAAGGGAAGCCAAGAAGAGAAGCCUGGCAGCAGAGGAGGCCUCUCCCGGCGCACUCCAUGAUCGGGCUUCAGCCAUGUUUGCAGCCUUUGAGCGCGGCGAUGCACCUCAAUCCGAAGCAAAACCAGAUCGUGUCUACGAUGUGACUGAGUCCGUGACGGAGGAAUCCACUUGUCCACCCAUUCCUCUGCUCCACGAACCCUACAUCCCUGACGAGCUAGCUUCCCAUCCGGGCGCGCACCACGCCUUCUAGCUUGCCCCAGCCAAAUACAAUGCAUCGUCGUUCUGGAUCGAGUGUGGAAGAAGAGGUGGUGCCAAGGAGAAGAGUGAUGUGCCAAUGACGCAGCUCCGUGCGUUGUGGCCAUGGAGGGGAGGCCCGGGAGCAGGAUGAUGCUGGCAGGUAGAUGAAGGAGGCAGGUGGUGGAGGACGAGCUCUUCGCCGGAACCGCAUGUACGACUGUGUGGAAGCCGCAAUCAGUGUCAAAGUCAGAAAGCAUGGGUUUUGGCCUGGUUGCCGAGGUUUAUUCACUGCCAGCACAGCUAGUUUCGAAGACAUGGAGAUCCCGUUGCUUGCUUUUGAAGGAGAUAGGUUGCCAGUUGAUGGUGGUGGAAGGCUUGAGCUUUCACGCCGUGUGGUCUGCGUCGAGCUUCGGCAGCCCGAAGGUAAGCUCUUGUUUUCGGCAAAGGCACUGCGUGGCGGUGAUGAGAAAGACGUGAGGAGAGUUCGUAAAACUUUCACUCCAAAGAAGGUUGGUAAGACCAAGGAGAAUAUCAAGAUUGGUUCCUGUGAGAUGGAGGUCACUGUCACAUGGUCCCUUCUUCCAAAUUGUAAGUAUGAUUAUGACAGUGCUUUGAGAAAGUAUUAUUAAGUUUGACUUCUGUGAGGUGAAGGUUUUCACUGUGAACCUUAAAAAAAAAGAUUCUGACUGUGAUGUGAUCUCUUCUGUAGGCAUCAAGUAGUAUGACUGACUAAUAAAAAGCCUUCAUAAUAUGAAGUGCAAACCGUGUAAAAUUUGCAAGGUCAUAACUAGAAUAUGAGUUAGUUCU